This 516-nucleotide ribosomal RNA is filed under the name uncultured Planctomycetota bacterium. Its description in RNAcentral is "bacterial SSU rRNA". It matches the Rfam family "Bacterial small subunit ribosomal RNA", at positions 117 to 643 of the family's 1533-position model. The record is from RNAcentral. Lineage: Bacteria; Pseudomonadati; Planctomycetota.
GUGGGUACCUGCCCCUUGGUCCGGAAUAGCUGCGGGAAACUGCAGGUAAUGCCGGAUAACAUCCUCGGAUCAAAGGUGUGAUUCCGCCGAGGGAGGGGCCCGCGUUCUAUUAGCUAGUUGGUAGGGUAAUGGCCUACCAAGGCGACGAUGGAUACCGGGUGUGAGAGCAUGACCCGGCUCACUGGGACUGAGACACUGCCCAGACACCUACGGGUGGCUGCAGUCGAGAAUCUUCGGCAAUGGGCGCAAGCCUGACCGAGCGACGCCGCGUGCGGGAUGAAGGCCUUCGGGUUGUAAACCGCUGUCAGUGGGGAGGAAAUGCCAUGGGGUUCUCUCCAUGGUUUGACCUAUCCGCAGAGGAAGGACGGGCUAAGUUCGUGCCAGCAGCCGCGGUAAGACGAACCGUCCAAACGUUAUUCGGAAUUAUUGGGCUUAAAGGGUGCGUAGGCUGUGCAGUAAGUUGGGUGUGAAAUCCCUCGGCUCAACCGAGGAACUGCGCCGAAUACUGCUGUGCUA